This 347-nucleotide ribosomal RNA is filed under the name Rhinella humboldti (Rivero's toad). Its description in RNAcentral is "partial 12S ribosomal RNA". It matches the Rfam family "Bacterial small subunit ribosomal RNA", at positions 869 to 1384 of the family's 1533-position model. Lineage: Eukaryota; Metazoa; Chordata; Amphibia; Anura; Bufonidae. The record is from RNAcentral.
CCGCCAGGGAACUACGAGCUAAGCUUAAAACCCAAAGGACUUGACGGUACCCCAUAUCCCCCUAGAGGAGCCUGUCCUAUAAUCGAUAAUCCACGUUUAACCUCACCAUUUCUAGUUUCUCAGCCUGUAUACCUCCGUCGUCAGCUUACCACGUGAGCGUUAAUUAGUGAGCCUAAUGUUUUUUCACCAACACGUCAGGUCAAGGUGCAGCAAAUGAAAUGGGAAGAGAUGGGCUACACUUUCUAUAUUAGAAGAAACGAAAAACUAUUUAUGAAAUCUAGUUGGAAGGCGGAUUUAGCAGUAAAAAGGAAUCAGAAUAUUCAUUUUAACCCGGCACUGGGGUGUGU